AUGCCGCGCUUCACUGAUAGCAAGUUUGCUUAUAAAGGGCUAUUUAUUCUGUGGAUGAACUUCUCUGCCCCCAAAAUGAACACUUUUAGGAAUCUUGUUUAUGAAGAGGAUCUGGACUGUACUUGCCCAGUAUCGAUCAACUCAGAAUAUUCUAUCCUAUUCAACAUCCAUCUACUGCAUCAUCAUCAUCACGUCAACUCAAAGACGAUAGCUAUGAAUGGGAUACAACAAAGAGGAAAAGGAGGCCACCUUGGUGGGCAGCGGCGACCUGGGUGUCGAGGUUCGGUCUGGCGGCGACCUGGCCAUCGCGCCGAGCCGCUUCUUGAUGAGGACUGCUCAAUUGAUGAUCGAUUGAAUUUUUGA
RNAcentral lists this ribosomal RNA (363 nucleotides) under Triticum aestivum (bread wheat). RNAcentral's name for it is "partial small subunit ribosomal RNA". Lineage: Eukaryota; Viridiplantae; Streptophyta; Magnoliopsida; Poales; Poaceae. The record is from RNAcentral.